Molecule: ribosomal RNA, 1191 nt
Filed under: Latilactobacillus curvatus
Lineage: Bacteria; Bacillati; Bacillota; Bacilli; Lactobacillales; Lactobacillaceae
Description: bacterial SSU rRNA
Rfam family: Bacterial small subunit ribosomal RNA
Source: RNAcentral
CAAGUCGUAACGCACUCUCGUUAGAUUGAAGAAGCUUGCUUCUGAUUGAUAACAUUUGAGUGAGUGGCGGACGGGUGAGUAACACGUGGGUAACCUGCCCUAAAGUGGGGGAUAACAUUUGGAAACAGAUGCUAAUACCGCAUAAAACCUAGCACCGCAUGGUGCAAGGUUGAAAGAUGGUUUCGGCUAUCACUUUAGGAUGGACCCGCGGUGCAUUAGUUAGUUGGUGAGGUAAAGGCUCACCAAGACCGUGAUGCAUAGCCGACCUGAGAGGGUAAUCGGCCACACUGGGACUGAGACACGGCCCAGACUCCUACGGGAGGCAGCAGUAGGGAAUCUUCCACAAUGGACGAAAGUCUGAUGGAGCAACGCCGCGUGAGUGAAGAAGGUUUUCGGAUCGUAAAACUCUGUUGUUGGAGAAGAACGUAUUUGAUAGUAACUGAUCAGGUAGUGACGGUAUCCAACCAGAAAGCCACGGCUAACUACGUGCCAGCAGCCGCGGUAAUACGUAGGUGGCAAGCGUUGUCCGGAUUUAUUGGGCGUAAAGCGAGCGCAGGCGGUUUCUUAAGUCUGAUGUGAAAGCCUUCGGCUCAACCGAAGAAGUGCAUCGGAAACUGGGAAACUUGAGUGCAGAAGAGGACAGUGGAACUCCAUGUGUAGCGGUGAAAUGCGUAGAUAUAUGGAAGAACACCAGUGGCGAAGGCGGCUGUCUGGUCUGUAACUGACGCUGAGGCUCGAAAGCAUGGGUAGCAAACAGGAUUAGAUACCCUGGUAGUCCAUGCCGUAAACGAUGAGUGCUAGGUGUUGGAGGGUUUCCGCCCUUCAGUGCCGCAGCUAACGCAUUAAGCACUCCGCCUGGAGAGUACGACCGCAAGGUUGAAACUCAGAGGAAUUGACGGGGGCCCGCACAAGCGGUGGAGCAUGUGGUUUAAUUCGAAGCAACGCGAAGAACCUUACCAGGUCUUGACAUCCUUUGACCACUCUAGAGAUAGAGCUCUCCCUUCGGGGACAAAGUGACAGGUGGUGCAUGGUUGUCGUCAGCUCGUGUCGUGAGAUGUUGGGUUAAGUCCCGCAACGAGCGCAACUUUAUUACUAGUGCCAGCAUUUAGUUGGGCACUCUAGUGAGACUGCCGGUGACAAACCGGAGGAAGGUGGGACAACGUCAAUCAUCUGCCCUUAUGACUGGGCUAC